GGGCCUGUAGCUCAGCUGGGAGAGCGCGUGCUUUGCAAGCAUGAGGCCAGCGGUUCGACCCCGCUCAGGUCCACCA
This 76-nucleotide transfer RNA is filed under the name Candidatus Omnitrophota bacterium. RNAcentral describes it as "tRNA-Ala". It matches the Rfam family "tRNA". From Rfam's summary of the family: Transfer RNA (tRNA) molecules are approximately 80 nucleotides in length. Their secondary structure includes four short double-helical elements and three loops (D, anti-codon, and T loops). The record is from RNAcentral. Lineage: Bacteria; Pseudomonadati; Candidatus Omnitrophota.